Long non-coding RNA from Populus trichocarpa (black cottonwood), 1124 nucleotides. RefSeq lists it as uncharacterized. The transcript is spliced from 2 exons. NCBI's taxonomy places the organism in Eukaryota, Viridiplantae, Streptophyta, Magnoliopsida, Malpighiales, Salicaceae. The record is from RefSeq and is a predicted model, not a curated record.
UGAAAAUCAAAGCAAAAAAAGUUGGUCAUCGUUGGCUCUACUGAGACAGAGAGUGAUGAAGAAGAGUACUUGGCUGAGUUAACUCAUCAAAUGGCCCACUCCACCCUUGAAGAUGAUUUUAAGAAAAACGACCUCCCUUGCAGCACCGAAAAGACUAAGGUUGGGUGCAGUUGUAGACAAGGAUCUAGCCGUGGAAGCCCGAAUGGGUCUUCACCUCCAGCAACUUGGGAUCUGCUGUAUGAGAUUGCAGGAGAAGUAGAGAGGACCAUUGGGUUUGAACCGGUUUGGAAGGGAAAAAAACCGAACCGAACCGAACCGAAAUUAAUCGGUUUGAACCGGUUUUCGGUUCAGUUCGGUUCAAAAAAUUAAAAAAAUAAUAAUUCGGUUUGGUUGUUUAUUUUGGUUCAAAACCGGACCGAACCGGAAAUGCUCAGCCCUAAUAGCAAGUAGACAAAAAAAAAGAGAGGGGGGAAAAUUGAGAGAUUGUAAAAGAAGAGAGUCAAAGAAAUGGUGGGAACCCAACAACUGCAAAACCCUAAGGAUGGAACCCCAAUCACCAAGAAAGAGCAAUGGCAGAUACACUACUCUCGCUUCUUCAAUUUCCCUUCUCUCCCAUCAUCAACGUGUCCCACUCUCCAGCCUCGCAAGAAAGACAAUGCUUAGGGCUUCUGGCUCUCUGCUUCUUCAGUGGCCUUUGUACAGCUCAUCAUUGACCAAAAUGCUCGUGGAAUGGUCCUCACUGUCACUUUUAAAGGAAAAAUCUAUGUGGGUUUUUGAUGUUUUCGCUUAUUGUUUCUUUAUUUUAGUUCCUAAUGUUUCUUCUUGCUGAAAUAGUCUAAUACAAUGCAUCGUGGUUUCUGGGAUUUCUUUGAUUUGAAUUGUAGAUUUAAAGGGUUUUUGCGGGAUUUGUCCUUUUUUUUUUUUGUGGGAUUCCAUUUAUAUGGCUUCACAUCAUGAAAAGGGACUAAUUGGAAUUACCCUCAUCAUCUGCAUAUAGAUUGAUUUAUUUUAUGAUUUGAAAUUCAUUAGUAAACAGAGAAAAAGUCAUUGUGAUUGUAUAUGUUAAUCAUAUUGUUUAAUGUUUGUAAACUUAUCUUGAUUAUUAUUUUUUUCUUUUUUACUUU